GGAAGCCCCCGGGGCCCCGGCGGCCGCGGGGUCUCGGGGCGACCCGCCCGCGCCGAGCUGCCCGAGGGCGCCUUUGUGUCCGGAUCUGGGUGAACGAAACCGCCACCGUUUUGCUCUCGCGUCCGAGUUCCCUUUUCAGAUUCCCCCCAACCCCACCCCCACCCCGCUCCCCGCCCGGGAGCCGGGAGGCCGCAGCCGAGGCUUCAUCACUAAAAAGUAGACGCGGGCCCCGCCACCCCUACCCCGCCUCCGGAAGUGCCGGUCCCCGCCACCCACCCCAGGCAGAAAACAAUCCUUCUAUGAAGAACCUAAUGCCAGGCUUGUGGUACUCAGCGCCCUGCGGUGACUCCCGGGCUAGCUUGCUUGAAGCCUGUGAAGGACUCUCACCGGUUCUUCAUCCCCCUCCUGAGCAGAG
Molecule: long non-coding RNA, 415 nt
Filed under: Bos indicus x Bos taurus (hybrid cattle)
Lineage: Eukaryota; Metazoa; Chordata; Mammalia; Artiodactyla; Bovidae
Description: lncRNA (ENSBIXG00000012211.1)
Source: RNAcentral